This 253-nucleotide ribosomal RNA is filed under the name uncultured bacterium. RNAcentral describes it as "partial 16S ribosomal RNA". It matches the Rfam family "Bacterial small subunit ribosomal RNA", at positions 524 to 776 of the family's 1533-position model. The record is from RNAcentral.
UACGUAGGGUGCGAGCGUUGUCCGGAAUUACUGGGCGUAAAGAGCUCGUAGGUGGUUUGUCGCGUUGUUCGUGAAAACUCACAGCUUAACUGUGGGCGUGCGGGCGAUACGGGCAGACUGGAGUACUGCAGGGGAGACUGGAAUUCCUGAUGUAGCGGUGGAAUGCGCAGAUAUCAGGAGGAACACCGGUGGCGAAGGCGGGUCCCUGGGCAGUAACUGACGCUGAGGAGCGAAAGCGUGGGGAGCGAACAGG